RNAcentral lists this ribosomal RNA (253 nucleotides) under uncultured bacterium. RNAcentral describes it as "partial 16S ribosomal RNA". It matches the Rfam family "Bacterial small subunit ribosomal RNA", at positions 524 to 776 of the family's 1533-position model. The record is from RNAcentral.
UACGUAGGGGGCAAGCGUUAUCCGGAUUUACUGGGUGUAAAGGGAGCGUAGACGGCAGUGCAAGUCUGGAGUGAAAGGCGGGGGCUCAACCCCCGGACUGCUCUGGAAACUGUAUAGCUGGAGUGCAGGAGAGGUAAGUGGAAUUCCUAGUGUAGCGGUGAAAUGCGUAGAUAUUAGGAGGAACACCAGUGGCGAAGGCGGCUUACUGGACUGUAACUGACGUUGAGGCUCGAAAGCGUGGGGAGCAAACAGG